GAAUAAGUUAUAAAACAAAGACAGAAAUCUUUCUGUUACACAAAAAAAUUAAUUUAAAAAAAACCAUAAGUUUUUUUGCCUAGGUUAACUGUGCCAUUUUUUUUUACAAAUUAUCGACUUCCUGUUGUUGAAUAAAGACACCCAUAAGAGCCCAUGUAUUUUCACGAAAGUUUAAUUAAUUAUAUUUCUUAAACGGUUUGACUACCAAAUUACCUGAAACUUUUUUUUUAUGUGGUCAUCAACUUUCUGAGAACUGGACAGUCGCAGUUGUUAAGUCAGUGAAUCGUUGAUCAUUCAUUUACUGACACCUGGUAUUCAAAAUUCAAACUAUAGGCAGCAGGACUCCCGUAAUCAAAUGCUAUGAGGAAUACAAGAAGCCACCCUAACAGCAAAGUUUGCUUUAGCAAAAGUUUCCUUGAAUUUUUCCUCAAAUUUCCGCCAACUUCGGACUUUUCCAUUUUUUAUGACAAUUUGUAUGCAGCUUGCUAUUGAAUUUGACGUAAAUUUACUGUCCGACUACGAAUGCAAAUUCA
Molecule: long non-coding RNA, 533 nt
Organism: Microplitis demolitor
Lineage: Eukaryota; Metazoa; Arthropoda; Insecta; Hymenoptera; Braconidae
Exons: 3
Source: RefSeq, a predicted model, not a curated record